UAGAAAAGUAUCCUAAGGGUCUCCAAG
This 27-nucleotide non-coding RNA is filed under the name Bombyx mori (domestic silkworm). The record is from RNAcentral. Lineage: Eukaryota; Metazoa; Arthropoda; Insecta; Lepidoptera; Bombycidae.